UCGCCUGUAGCUCAAUGCAGAGCGGCCGGUUCUUACCCGGUCAGAUGUGGGUUCAAGUCCCACCAGGCGGACCA
RNAcentral lists this transfer RNA (74 nucleotides) under Planctomycetota bacterium. Its description in RNAcentral is "Planctomycetes bacterium (bioreactor metagenome) tRNA-Lys". It matches the Rfam family "tRNA". Rfam says of the family: Transfer RNA (tRNA) molecules are approximately 80 nucleotides in length. Their secondary structure includes four short double-helical elements and three loops (D, anti-codon, and T loops). The record is from RNAcentral. Lineage: Bacteria; Pseudomonadati; Planctomycetota.